UACGGAGGAUGCAAGCGUUAUCCGGAAUUAUUGGGCGUAAAGGGUCCGCAGGUGGUUUAUCAAGUCUGCUGUUAAAGCGUGGAGCUUAACUCCAUAUCGGCAGUGGAAACUGAUGAACUAGAGUUCAGUAGGGGUCACGGGAAUUCCCAGUGUAGCGGUGAAAUGCGUAGAUAUUGGGAAGAACACCAGCGGCGAAGGCGCGUGACUGGGCUGAGACUGACACUGAGGGACGAAAGCUAGGGGAGCGAAAGGG
RNAcentral lists this ribosomal RNA (253 nucleotides) under uncultured bacterium. Its description in RNAcentral is "partial 16S ribosomal RNA". It matches the Rfam family "Bacterial small subunit ribosomal RNA", at positions 524 to 776 of the family's 1533-position model. The record is from RNAcentral.